AUUGAACGCUGGCGGCAGGCCUAACACAUGCAAGUCGAGCGGAUGAAGGGAGCUUGCUCCUGGAUUCAGCGGCGGACGGGUGAGUAAUGCCUAGGAAUCUGCCUGGUAGAGGGGGAUAACGUCCGGAAACGGGCGCUAAUACCGCAUACGUCCUGAGGGAGAAAGUGGGGGAUCUUCGGACCUCACGCUAUCAGAUGAGCCUAGGUCGGAUUAGCUAGUUGGUGGGGUAAAGGCCUACCAAGGCGACGAUCCGUAACUGGUCUGAGAGGAUGAUCAGUCACACUGGAACUGAGACACGGUCCAGACUCCUACGGGAGGCAGCAGUGGGGAAUAUUGGACAAUGGGCGAAAGCCUGAUCCAGCCAUGCCGCAUGUGUGAAGAAGGUCUUCGGAUUGUAAAGCACUUUAAGUUGGGAGGAAGGGCAGUAAGUUAAUACCUUGCUGUUUUGACGUUACCAACAGAAUAAGCACCGGCUAACUUCGUG
RNAcentral lists this ribosomal RNA (484 nucleotides) under uncultured bacterium. RNAcentral's name for it is "partial 16S ribosomal RNA". It matches the Rfam family "Bacterial small subunit ribosomal RNA", at positions 30 to 507 of the family's 1533-position model. The record is from RNAcentral.